RNAcentral lists this ribosomal RNA (301 nucleotides) under uncultured bacterium. Its description in RNAcentral is "partial 16S ribosomal RNA". It matches the Rfam family "Bacterial small subunit ribosomal RNA", at positions 509 to 808 of the family's 1533-position model. The record is from RNAcentral.
CAGCCGCCACGGGAAUACGGAGGGUGCAAGCGUUAAUCGGAAUUACUGGGCGUAAAGCGCACGCAGGCGGUCUGACAAGUCAGAUGUGAAAUCCCCGGGCUUAACCUGGGAACUGCAUUUGAAACUGUCAGGCUGGAGUCUUGUAGAGGGGGGUGGAAUUCCAGGUGUAGCGGUGAAAUGCGUAGAGAUCUGGAGGAAUACCGGUGGCGAAGGCGGCCCCCUGGACAAAGACUGACGCUCAGGUGCGAAAGCGUGGGAGCAAACAGGAUUAGAUACCCCAGUAGUCCCUGUCUCUUAUACC